UACGUAGGUGGCAAGCGUUGUCCGGAAUUAUUGGGCGUAAAGCGCGCGCAGGUGGUUCCUUAAGUCUGAUGUGAAAGCCCACGGCUCAACCGUGGAGGGUCAUUGGAAACUGGGGAACUUGAGCGCAGAAGAGGAAAGUGGAAUUCCAAGUGUAGCGGUGAAAUGCGUAGAGAUUUGGAGGAACACCAGUGGCGAAGGCGACUUUCUGGUCUGUAACUGACACUGAGGCGCGAAAGCGUGGGGAGCAAACAGG
RNAcentral lists this ribosomal RNA (253 nucleotides) under uncultured bacterium. RNAcentral's name for it is "partial 16S ribosomal RNA". It matches the Rfam family "Bacterial small subunit ribosomal RNA", at positions 524 to 776 of the family's 1533-position model. The record is from RNAcentral.